Long non-coding RNA from Arachis stenosperma, 1296 nucleotides. RefSeq lists it as uncharacterized. Lineage: Eukaryota; Viridiplantae; Streptophyta; Magnoliopsida; Fabales; Fabaceae. The transcript has 5 exons. The record is from RefSeq and is a predicted model, not a curated record.
AUAAAGUCGUAAAUUGAAUUUUGAAAAGAGUCGAGAACAAUUUCAAAGGACCGAGAGAGAAGGUUCAGUGUUGAGUGGUGUUUGGCGCUACCAGCACAUCAAGCAUAACGAAGGAGCACGAGAAUUCAUCCAAAACAUAUUGUCAAAGAGGCAGAAUAUGGCUGAACAUGUUAAGUCAGAGACGAAACCAACCGAUGGAGCGGAUGAUUUACUGACUUUUUGUGCUGAAAAUAUGCAGAGCAACAUGAAGAUUAUCUAUGUCAGCGGACAUUUUUGUCUAUAAUCGGUGGAGUAGUUGCUGGAAUUUUUGGGUUUACAGGCUUAAAAGGAUUUGUCUUAUACUUUCUGCUAAUGUCCUUUACUUCACUUGUGCUCCUAGCAAAAUCUAAAAUUUCAAUCCACUCAUACUUUGACUCCCGGAAUCGAGUGCUACUGGAUGGCUUUCUAGGUGGUCUAAUGUCAUUUGUGCUGUUCUGGACGUAUCCUUCUCUUUUAUAAUCUUUGGCAGUACAUCUGCAAACUAAUUUAUUUAACGCCAUAAAUCUGUUAAAACUUAAAAAUGGAGAACUUAUAUGACUAGCGUUAUUUGGAUGGAUUGGAAUUGGAUUUAGAGGGUAUUAGAACUUAAAAUGGAGUGGAAUUGGUUUUGGAGGGGAUUCCAAAUCGUUCCACGUUACCUAAACUUUCGAAAUAUUUGUUGCCCUAUUUUUCCUAGAGAGUAGCUGUCCCAGAUUAUUGACAAAAACAGCUUAUGAAGAGUUCAUUUAUCCUAUUCCCAUAUUCUUGUCAUUAUAUUCUGCUUCUUUGACAAACUAAAGAUUUGCAUACGACGUUGUACAUAUAUUUUGAUCGAAAGUCGUCUGGAAAUGCCUUUAAAAAGGCAACUUUUGGCGUCUGUUGCUGAUUUCGCUGCUUGCUAGAUUGCUUUACAGGACCAUCUAGUUACUGGGAUAGCUUCAUGAUGACUUUGUAAGCUCUACUUCCGUUGGGGAUUAUGUAAUCUUAGAGAGGAAGCAAUUUUGUUAAAUUGGACUCGGGGAGAUUAUUCUAUAGACUAGUUUGUAUAUGUAGCGAUUUAUUUUGGCAUUUAGUUUAAGUUGCUUCUUAACGAAAAUAAGAUGUUUCACCUGCAGCUUUCUGUGAUGAAACUCCUUGAUUGACAAGGUUGGUGUGACCAAAGAAAAGAAUGUUUUGCGACCAAUAAUAUGUUCUCACAUUGUGUUUCAAUUGCGGACUUGCAGUAAUUGCAACAUCAAACUUACGAAUCAUUCGCAAUUUAAAAUCCCGCACUCAAUC